GUCCUCACCUGCCGGGGCCGCCCUGGGCACCAGCUCGGCCAGUGUCACACCCCCUUUCCGCAGCGGAACUAGGCCACUGUGCUGCUGAGCCUGCUCUGGCUGUGCAGAUGGAGGGCCACUCCGGUUUGCCUGGGUUUCUGGUUUUAGCGCUGAAAGCCCCGUGUCCUAGGAGCACCCUCUGUGCCAGGGGCAAACUGGGGCAGUUCGUCACCCUGCCCUGGACCAGCUCGGGGAACACACUGCCUUAGCGCCUUGGACCAUUUACCAGCUUGUCUUUUUCACAAGAGAAAUAAACCUAUCUUUUUAAAGGUGCUGUUAUUUUGGUCUCUAUUAAAGUCUCUGAACCAGUACUCUGAGUGAGCGGUUCCAGUCGCUGGGAGGGCUGGCGAAGAGCACUGGGGCUCUGGGAGCAGAGUGGGCUGGGGAUCUGUGUCUCUAUCGCGCUCUGGCUGGUUGUGAUGGAACCCGAGGCUGAGAACCGCUGUCUUAGGUAGCAGACCUCAGCAAGAGGAAAAGAGUUAGAAGACAGGGAGGCACAGCCUCGAACCUGUGGCUUUCAGGGAUGUCCUGGGCUUGUGAUCCCCAGGGCAGCGGAGCCCAGAACAGAAACUGCCUGACUGUCAGCCCCUGUGUCCCCCCGCAUCCCUGCUCGAGCCCCUACUGCACGGACAGCCCUCUGGGGCUCGGGCCAGGCUACCUCCCCUUCUUCCACUUUGAAGGGUUCAGUUAAAUUGGGACCACCUGGAAAACCCCAGGUACUCGCCCUGUCUUAAGAUCAGCUGCUUGGCAACCUUAAUUGCAUGUGCCACCUUAAUUCCCUUUUGCCAUAUAAUGUAACUGAUGACAACAAUGAUAAUGCAAAAAAAUGAUAAGGUAAAACCGAGAUAUCUGCAUAAAAUCUUAUCAGCUGGCACCAGCAAUCGUGUGAGCACACACGAGAGUGAGAUUCCACAUGCCUUUGCUGUUGCGAAUGACCAUAGAGAGGGAAGGACAGGGGACUCUUCCUUACUUUCCCCACACCCUCGGUGACCUGGUGAGCCCUGUGAGAAAACAGCUCUGUCCCCUCUGGGUGCCCUCUGGGGCCAGCUGUGCCUGGCUCUCUGAUCAUCUGCUGUGGUUCUGAGAGGCUGCAGGGGCGGGGGUGGGGGACAUGGGUGGCAGAGGACACGUCCAUGAAAUCUUUCCUUGAGCCCUCCACUAUUUGGGCAUCAGCCUUCUCUCUAUUUUUUUUUUCGGUUUAUAGAGGUAUAGUUGACAUAUUGUAAGGUGAACAUAUUUAAAGGUACAAUUGAGACUUUUUUUGUGUGAGGAAGACUGUCCCUGAGCUAACAUCUGUUGCCAAUCUUCCUCUUUUUGCUUGAGGAAGAUUGUCACUGAGCUAACAUCUGUGCCACUCUUCCUGCAUUUUGUAUGUGGGAUGCUGCCACAGUGUGGCUUGAUGAGCAGUGCUAGGUCUGCGCCUGGGAUCCGAACUGGCGAACCCUGGGCUGCCGAAGCGGAGCAUGUGGACUUAACCACUACACUACUGAGCCGGCCCCCAAUUGAUGACUUUCGAUGUGCGCGUACAUCCAUGAAGCCAUCGCACGAUCAAGAUAACCAGCAGACCCCCCACCCCAAUGGGGUUCACUUGGCCUUGAGAUACGUUCCUCUUUUCCCCACCCCCAGAGUUUUCUGUAUUGGAAGGUUUUCAACUGCAAAUUCAAUAUCUUUGAUAGAUAUAGGACUAUUCAGGAUAUCUAUUUCUUCUUGAGUUAGUUUUAGUAGCUUGCAUCUUUCAAGGAGUUUGUUUACUUAGUCUAACUUGUCACAUUGUAUAAAGUUACGUGUAAUACUUCAUUAUUAUCCUUUUAACAUUUGUAGAGUCUGUGGCAAUAUCCCAUCUCUUAUUCUUAGUAUUGGUGAUUUGUGUUUUCUCUCUUUUUUCCUGAUCAGCCUGGCUAGAGGUUUAUAAUUCCUAUUGAUCAUCUGAAAGAACCAGCUUUUGAUUUGAUUAAUUUUCUCUAUUAUUUUUCUGUUUUCUGUGUCAUUGAUUUCCAGUCUGAUCUCUGUCAUUUCCCUUCUUCUCCUAACUUUGGGUUUUAUUUAUUUUGCUUUUCUGCUUUCUGCUUUUUUGUGUGUGUGUAUGAGGAAGAUUGGCCUUGAACUAAUAUCUGGGCCAAUCUUCCUCUAUUUUUUUGUAUGUGGGAUGCCACCACAGCAUGGCUUGAUGAGCAGUGUGUAGGUCUGUGCCCGGGAUCCAAACUCGUGAACCCUGGGCUCCUGAAGUGGAGCCGUAAACUUAACCACUACGCCAUUGGGCUAGCCCCAACUUUUCUGGUUUCUUAAGGUCAGGUGUCUACUGGCCACUUGAGAUUGUCCCAAGUUCUGCUCAUUGUUUAUAGUCUUGUUUUCUCUGUGUUUCUAUUUCUUUCUAAAGAAUUUCUUUUUCUGCAGUGCCUAAUUUGCUAUUAAUCCCAUCAGUGUAAUUUUCAUCCUGGACAUUAUAUUUGAUUGGGUCUGUUUUAUAUUAAGAAAGUUUCCGUAUUUCUACUUAAUGUAUUCAAGCUGUCCUAAAUCUUCCUGAACAUAUGAUAAAAUAUAGUUAUGAAAUAGUUUUCAUGUUCUUAUGUACUAAUUUUAUCAUCUGCAUCAUUUCUGGGUCUGUUUCUAUUGACUGAUUUUUCUCUGUGUUGUGCAGUUUUCUGUUUCUUUGCAUGCCUAGUAAUCUUUGAUUGGUUGCCAAACAUUGUGACUUUGACAUGGUUGGGCGCUGGGUAAUUUUGCAUCCUAUAAAUAUCUGUGGGCCUUGUUCUGGGACAUGGUUAAGCUACUUUUAGAGAGUUUGAUUGUUUUGAGGAUUGCUAAAGCUUUCUUAGGCAGGACCAGUUCAAUUUUUAUUCUAUUUUAUUCUAUUUCCCCAGCAAUGAGGCAAUCCUUGUGAGUGGUCUACCCCAGGCCUUGUGCAUGACGAGGCUUAUUCUUUGGUUGUGGGAACACACACCAUUCCCAGCAUGUUUUUUUAAAAAAGUUUUUUAAAAUUAUGGGAAAAAAUAUAUAACAUAAAAUGUACUCUUUUAACCAUUUUUAAGUGUACGGUUCUGUGGCAUUAAGCACACUCACAUUGCUGUGCAACCAUCACCACCAUCCAUCACCAGAACUCUGUUCAUUUGGCAAAACUGGAACUCUGUCCCCAUUGGACAGCAACUCUUCCUUGCCCCUCCCCCAGGCCCUGGCACCCGGCAUUCUACUUUCUGUCUCUGUGGAUUUGACUCCUGUGGGGCCUCAUGUGCGUGGAACCAGACAGGAUUUGUCCUUUUGUGACUAGUUCACUUCACUCAGCGUCACGUCCUGCAGGUUCAUCCAUGCUGUAGCAUUUGUCAGAAUUUCCUUCCUUUUUAAGGCUGAACAAUAUUCCAUUGUGUGGUUGGACUGGUUUGUUUAUCCUUUCAUCCAUCCGUGGACACUGGGGUUGCUCCCACUGUUUGGCUGCUGUGAGUAAUGCUGCUGUGAAUGUGGGUGUGCACAGUAUGAAAUGCAGACAGCUUCCAUCCUCUCCCCGGGCAGCUCCCCCUCUAGCCUCAGGGAGUUUCCUUCCUUUGUGGGUGAUCUGCCUUCAGCUAAAGACUCCAGGCGACCCUUGGUGGAGCUCCAGAGCCGUGGUCUGUGCAGCUCUCUUCUCUCCGAUGUCACCCUGUGGCCUCGAGCAGCCUCAGCUUCACCAGACUGUCUCCUGUGUGCAGGGACACCUGAGAGCUGCUCUGGGCUCCUGCUCCCUGUGCUGAGCCUGUCACCUCUCUCCAGGCAGGAGGCUGGGAAAUCACGGGGCUCACCUUAUUUGUGUCCUUUCUCCUGUCCUGCCCCAUUUCCAAUGUCUGUGAACUGUUGUUUCAUAUACAUUGUCCCUUUUAAGUUAUUUCUGGUGGGAGUGUGAAUCUGGUCCCUGUCCCUCUGUCUUGGCCCAUGGUGAAAACCCUCCCCUCUCCUCAUUACCCUGUGAUCCCUGUGUCCUACCUCCGCCUGUGCACUGUGGCUGCUCUUCUGCCACGGGCCUCUCCUGGAGGCAUUUCUGGCACCCUCAGGCACACCGGUGCUGUUAUAGAUAGACCCUGGUGGUCUCCGGCGUGCCCUCAUCUGGAGCUAGACCUCUGCUGGACUCCUCAUGCCCACCCCCGAUGUUGGAUGCUCCCGGGGGCUCAGAUGUACCAGCUGGCUCAGGGGUGGGGCAUGUGGUCCUCCAUCAGCACCAGCCUAAGUCCUCAUAUAGCACUUCACAGGCACACAGGACUUCCCUGAAGGCCUGGGUCAGCAGAAGUGCCACACAGGGAUGGCUGCCUCUGGGAGUGCCUCCUGGGUGAUGUCUAAGUGGCAGAGCCAGCCCAGUCCCUGCAGAGGGACCUCUCCAGGCACCUUCUCCCCCUCCCUCAAGACUCAUCCACCAGCCUGCCUUUAGCUCCGAGCCAAAUCUCACCCCACUCGCCCUCAUGCCUGAAGAGUAUUUUGGGAAGACACACAGGCCAAGGUGAUGCCCCAUGGCCGAGGCGACAUUUGGUCAUACGUUUUGCAAAAGUCUGGCUUGUUUAGUCUUUGCUUGCUCUUGUUUUGUAUAGUUCCACAGACAGCCAUGUAAGGAUUUCAUUUUCCUUGGAGCCUUUGGACCCCUAGCCCUUUGGUGGUGAUAUUAUCGUCCUCAGUUGCUUUCUUUGUAAUUUCCAUUGGGAUUUUCUCCAGAAUUAUGUUUUUAUUUUCACCUACAUUUCUAAACUGAAC
This is a long non-coding RNA of Equus caballus (horse), 4746 nucleotides long. The record is from Ensembl. NCBI's taxonomy places the organism in Eukaryota, Metazoa, Chordata, Mammalia, Perissodactyla, Equidae.